Molecule: ribosomal RNA, 1218 nt
Filed under: uncultured Rhizaria
Lineage: Eukaryota
Description: SSU rRNA
Rfam family: Eukaryotic small subunit ribosomal RNA
Source: RNAcentral
CGGUAAUUCCAGCUCCAAUAGCGUAUACUAAAGUUGUUGCAGUUAAAAAGCUCGUAGUUGGAUUUCUGCGGGGACGGAGCGGCCGGACGCAACUUGCGUCUCGAGCUAGCGCUUUCCCCGCAUCCUGCCGCGAACCGUGCUACCAUUAGUUUGGUGGCGCUGGGGAUCGGCUCGAUUACUUUGAGAAAAAUAGAGUGUUCAAAGCAGGCCACACGCCUUGAAUAAGUUAGCAUGGAAUAAUGACUAAGGACUUCGGUUCUAUUUUGUUGGUGUUCGGGACUGAAGUAAUGAUUGAUAGGGACAGUUGGGGCGGUCUGUAUUCCAAAGCGAGAGGUGAAAUUCUUAGACCUUCGGAAGACAAACAGCUGCGAAAGCGUUCCGCAAGGAUGUUCCCUUUGAUCAAGAACGAAAGUUGGGGGAUCGAAGACGAUCAGAUACCGUCGUAGUCUCAACUAUAAACUAUACCAGCUAGGGAUCGGCCAACGUUUAAUUAAUCGACUUGGUCGGCACCUUAUGAGAAAUCAAAGCAUCUGGGUUCCGGGGGGAGUAUGGUCGCAAGGCUGAAACUUAAAGGAAUUGACGGAAGGGCACCACCAGCCGUGGAGCCUGUGGCUUAAUUUGACUCAACACGGGAAAACUUACCAGGCCCAGACAUAGGAAGGAUUGACAGAUUGAUAGCUCUUUCUUGAUUCUGUGGGUGGUGGUGCAUGGCCGUUUUUAGUUGGUGGAGUGAUUUGUCUGCUUAAUUGCGUUAACGAACGAGACCCCAGCCUGCUAAAUAGCGCGGCUGAGCUUUGCUCGGUGCGAGCUUCUUAGAGGGACCAUGAUGCGCGAUAGCACAAGGAAGUUUGGGGCAGCAACAGGUCUGUGAUGCCCUUAGAUGUUCUGGGCCGCACACGGGCUACACUGGCGCCUGCAACGAGCAUAUCAGCUGGCCCGAGAGGGUCUUGGCUAAUCUUUUGAACCGGCGCUGUGCUUGGGAUUGACCUUUGCAAUUGUUGGUCAUGCAACGAGGAAUGCCUUGUAAACGCGAGUCAUCAGCUCGCAUUGAAUACGUCCCUGCCCUUUGUACACACCGCCCGUCGCUCCUACCGAUGAAUGUUCCGAUGAAAUUUUCGGAGAGCGCCAGAGAACGGGGCUCCGCCUUGCAGAUCUGGAGGCUCAAAGUCACUUAAAUCUGAACAUUUCGAGGAAGGAGAAGUCGUAACAAGGUAGCCG